GGGGCUGCAGGAGGUUGGGGGGAAGGGGAACUUCAUUCAACAUGGAGGAACCCCCUCCUCCCAUGCAUUUCCAUCCAUCACGACACAGCCCAGCAACCUGGACUCCACUGGUGAAUAUACACAAAAGUUUGUUGUGGAAAUGAGACAUGUGGCAACACUGGAUCUGGCCAGGCCUCUGCAGUGAUCAGGACUUCCAGCAAUGUUACCGCAAGAGGAUCUCCUCCUCCCAUUCCCGGCUCUCAUUAUUGCUCCUGCCAUAAGAAGGGCGUGGAAUUCUCAAGAUCUGGAGAACUGGAGGAGGAGCCAGGGCCAAGGGUAACUGGCCCUAGAACAUCGGACUAGAAUGAUAAGACUUUUCAGCUUUCUGGCUUCCUGAAAGAGAUUCAUCUUCAGAAAGUUCUUCUCACCAUUGAACAAUUGUCUGAUAGCUGAGAUCCUACAGCUAUCUCCUCUUCUGACACGUAAUAGUUGGAGAAGCUGGGGUAGAGGUGUCAAACAUGCCUUAACAGCCUGCAACAGAUUAAA
Phascolarctos cinereus (koala) is the source of this 525-nucleotide long non-coding RNA. RefSeq lists it as uncharacterized. The record is from RefSeq and is a predicted model, not a curated record. Lineage: Eukaryota; Metazoa; Chordata; Mammalia; Diprotodontia; Phascolarctidae.